GCAAGCCCUUGAAUGCGUCUGAUUCAAUUACUGAAAAAUCAUUUUUUGACAAUGACAAGUCUUCAAUUCCUUGAUUAAGCUCAAUCUCACCUGUUUGGAGGAGAGACAUAUGCAUCCCGACGGGCACAAAAAACUUUCCGUGGUCGAACUUAUUACGUCUGCUGUUAUAUUUUGACAGAAAAUAGCCACCGUCAACCAUAGCAACUCUAAACUUGGAACCUACACACGUAAUUUAUUUUUUAAAAAUAUGUAUACAUAUGUAAUAAAAUACUAGCGCAUGCCUUAGCAUCAGGAUGAUAGGCGGUGUCGGGUGCAGGAGCACACGUCUGUUAUAUGUCCCAGGAUAAUCCGGUUUGUC
Molecule: long non-coding RNA, 358 nt
Organism: Microplitis demolitor
Lineage: Eukaryota; Metazoa; Arthropoda; Insecta; Hymenoptera; Braconidae
Exons: 3
Source: RefSeq, a predicted model, not a curated record